This 376-nucleotide ribosomal RNA is filed under the name Rhizobium sp. R-45802=1831. Its description in RNAcentral is "bacterial SSU rRNA". It matches the Rfam family "Bacterial small subunit ribosomal RNA", at positions 24 to 430 of the family's 1533-position model. The record is from RNAcentral. Lineage: Bacteria; Pseudomonadati; Pseudomonadota; Alphaproteobacteria; Hyphomicrobiales; Rhizobiaceae.
UCAGAACGAACGCUGGCGGCAGGCUUAACACAUGCAAGUCGAACGCAUCGCAAGAUGAGUGGCAGACGGGUGAGUAACGCGUGGGAAUCUACCGUACCCUACGGAAUAGCUCCGGGAAACUGGAAUUAAUACCGUAUACGCCCUUUGGGGGAAAGAUUUAUCGGGGUAUGAUGAGCCCGCGUUGGAUUAGCUAGUUGGUGGGGUAAAGGCCUACCAAGGCGACGAUCCAUAGCUGGUCUGAGAGGAUGAUCAGCCACWUUGGGACUGAGACWCGGCCCAAACUCCUACGGGAGGCAGCWGUGGGGAAUAUUGGACKAUGGGCGCAAGCYUGAUCCAGCCWUGCCGCGUGAGUGAUGAAGGUCUUAGGAUUGUAAAG